Molecule: ribosomal RNA, 1058 nt
Filed under: uncultured bacterium
Lineage: Bacteria
Description: bacterial SSU rRNA
Rfam family: Bacterial small subunit ribosomal RNA
Source: RNAcentral
ACGGGUGAGUAAUGCUUAUCUUACCUACCAUUUAGUGGGGGAUAAAAUACCGCAUGCCCUUUGGCUUCGGUCAAAGGAAAGGAAGCCUUUGGGCUUUCGCUAAAUGAUGGGGAUAAGUCGCAUCAGUCGAUGAAAGUGGGGUAAUGGCCUACUGAGGCAAUGACGCGUAGCCAGGCUAAGAGGCUGAUUGGCCACAAGGGAACUGAAACACGGUCCCUACUCCUACGGGAGGCAGCAAUGGGGAAUCGUCGGCAAUGGGGGCAACCCUGACCGCGCAAUGCUACGUGAAGGAGGAAGGUCUACGGAUUGUAAACUUCUUUACUCAGGUGUACUCCUAAAAACUUGCAUCUGAGCAAAAAGCCACGACUAACUACGUGCCAGCAGUCGCGGUAAGACGUAGGUGGCGAACGUUAUCCGGAAUUAUUGGGCGUAAAGGGUGCGCAGAUGGUCUGACAAGUUAGCAGUGGGAAAUCGAGGCUCAACCUCGUGGAAGCUGGUAAUACUGUCUGACUCGAGUACAGGAGAGGUUAACGGAACUCCAUGUGGAGCGGUAAAAUGCGUAGAUAUAUGGAAGAACACCAAUAACGGCGAAGGCAGUUAACUAUUCUGUUACUGACAUUGAGGCACGAAAGCGUGGGGAGCAAAACGGAUUAGAUACCCGUGUAGUCCACGCCCUAAACGAUGAGUGCUAGAUAUUGGGAACUAGAUUCUCAGUGUCGUCAGGUAACCCAGUAAGCACUCCGCCUGGGUAGUACGGUCGCAAGGCUGAAACUCAAAGGAAUUGACGGGGACUCGCACAAGCAGUGGAGCAUGUGGUUUAAUCCGAUACAACGCGUAGAACCUUACCAAGGCUUGACAUGUUCGGCAAAACUCGGGAAACCGAGCGGAGGUUAUCCGAACACAGGUGCUGCAUGGCCGUCGUCAGUUCGUGCCGUGAGGUGUAUGGUUAAGUCCUAUAACGAACGCAACCCUUAUACUUAGUUACCAGCAUUCAGUUGGGGACUCUAAGUAGACUGCCUGAGUAAUCAGGAGGAAGGAAAGGAUGACGUCUGGUCGUC